RNAcentral lists this ribosomal RNA (791 nucleotides) under Gyractis sesere. RNAcentral describes it as "partial 12S ribosomal RNA". It matches the Rfam family "Bacterial small subunit ribosomal RNA", at positions 351 to 1452 of the family's 1533-position model. The record is from RNAcentral. Lineage: Eukaryota; Metazoa; Cnidaria; Anthozoa; Actiniaria; Actiniidae.
GCAGUAGAGAAUCUUGUGCAAUAAACGAAAGUAUGACACAGAGAGGACACAUUUAAUUGAGCCCGUCAAAUUAAGUGCCAGCCGACGCGGUUAAACUUAAGGGCUGGUCUUUAUAAGUAAAAAGGCGUAAAGGAUGUGUAGGCCAAGAAACGAUCCAAGUAGGUAAAUGGAAUUUUUCUGGAGCGGUAGAAUGUGAGGAUAGAAAAUAGAACCCCUAAGGUAAAAACUAUUUACUACAAGGUAGGCUGAAACAUGAGAGUGUGGGGAGCAAACAGGAUUAGAGACCCUGGUAGUCCACACUGUGAACUUUGAAGAUGAUGCUUAGCAGACCCGAAAGGUAAAAUCUUCCGCCUGAGUAGUACGAUCGCAAGAUUAAAAUUCAAAAACUUUGGCUGUUCACUAUUUCGAUUAGAGGAGCGUGUAGUUUAAUUCGAUGGUCCGCGUGUUACCUUACCCCAACUUGAAUCUGUGACCGGUAUUGCAUGGCCGUCGUAAGUUCGUGUAUUAAGCUAGAAGGGACCCAACCCGGGCACUUGCCCGGAGGAAGUCAGGUCUUAUGAUCCGAAUGUUGGGGGAUUUUAUGCGCUACAUUUUCUUAUAUAAUGAGAAACCUGGAAGGUGAAUCUCUAAAGUAAGAGUUCGGAAGGUCGCUGUAAGACGACUGGAAGUUGGAUUUAAUAGUAAUCGGAAAGUAGGGCGUUCCGGUGAAUUGGUACAAGUGUUAGCACAAAUUGCCCGUCACCUUUACUUAGAAGGUUAUUCGGAUGUCUUCGGGAUUAUGAAUGCCUACG